ACCUUCGCAAUGCGCGCAAGCGCGACGAGGUUAUUCCGAGUGAUUUCCGCUGAGGAAAUCUUUUCUUAGAUCUAAAAUGUCUGGGGAAUAAGGGGAGGGCAAGUCUGGUGUCAGCCGCCGCGGUAAUACCAGCUCCUCGAGUGGUCAGGGCGUUUAUUGGGCCUAAAGCAUCCGUAGCCGGCUCGGUAGGUCUCCUGUUAAAUCCAACGGCUCAACCGUUGGUCUGCAGGAGAUACCGCUGGGCUAGGAGGCGGGAGAGGCGGACGGUACUCCGAGGGUAGGGGUAAAAUCCUUUGAUCCCCGGAAGACCACCAGUGGCGAAGGCGGUCCGCCAGAACGCGCUCGACGGUGAGGGAUGAAAGCUGGGGGAGCGAACCGGAUUAGAUACCCGGGUAGUCCCAGCUGUAAACGAUGCGAGCUAGGUGACACGGCGCCUUCGGGGCAUCGUGGUGCCGCAGGGAAGCCGUUAAGCUCGCCGCCUGGGGAGUACGGACGCAAGUCUGAAACUUAA
Molecule: ribosomal RNA, 511 nt
Filed under: uncultured Nitrososphaerota archaeon
Lineage: Archaea; Thermoproteati; Nitrososphaerota
Description: bacterial SSU rRNA
Rfam family: Archaeal small subunit ribosomal RNA
Source: RNAcentral